RNAcentral lists this ribosomal RNA (486 nucleotides) under Globigerina bulloides. Its description in RNAcentral is "SSU rRNA". It matches the Rfam family "Eukaryotic small subunit ribosomal RNA", at positions 1164 to 1469 of the family's 1831-position model. Lineage: Eukaryota; Foraminifera; Rotaliida; Globigerinidae. The record is from RNAcentral.
GCACCACAAAACGCGGAGUAUGUGGCUUAAUUUGACUCAACGCGGAAAAGCUUAUCUGGUCCGGACGCAGUGAGGAUUGACAGACAGUUAGACAAAAGUGGUUUUGGUAACAAAUUGAGAGAGGUGAAGUUCUUUCAUGAUCUUGUGAGAGGUGGUGCAUGGCCGUUCUUAGUUCGUGUAGUGAUAUGUCUGCCUAAUCGCGUCACGAUAACCUAUUGGUCGACAACCCAAUUAUCACAACUGCAGCAUAACUCCCCUUGGGUGGGCGAGGCUCUGUGUAGGAUAGACCUCUGAACAGUACGCAACGAACGUGAUCGUAAACCCUUGUUGAGUGGCCAUCCUGUAAGCUGCUGGAUUAGGAACCCAGUGGUAUUAUCUCAGCCACAGAUUUUCUGGUUGUAAUGGGCCAGUUUUGAAACUCGGGGCACAUCUGUGACUUUCUUUCUUAACGCAGAGGAAGGUUAUGGCAAUAACAGGUCUGUGAUG